Oncorhynchus keta (chum salmon) is the source of this 2434-nucleotide long non-coding RNA. RefSeq lists it as uncharacterized. The transcript has 3 exons. NCBI's taxonomy places the organism in Eukaryota, Metazoa, Chordata, Actinopteri, Salmoniformes, Salmonidae. The record is from RefSeq and is a predicted model, not a curated record.
GUGUGUGUGUGUGUGUGUGUGUGUGUGUGUGUGUGUGUGUGUGUGUGUGUGUGUGUGUGUGUGUGUGUGUGUGUGUGUGUGUGUGUGUGUGUGUGUGUGUGUGUGUGCGUUCAUGCAUUCGUGUGUGUGUGUGUGUGUUUAAUUCAUGUUAUGUAACUAAAUAAAAGGUUAGACUGUUUGAUCAGGGUUCAUGAGAUACGACAGAACAUAGGACCUUUGUUGAGGCUGGUAACAUUAUGGCUCAGUUUAUUAUAGACACCUGUUAUCACAAGAGAACUCUUCGCUUUUAAAAUAGACCAUGACAUCAGAGAAGCUAGGUAAGCAAGGGAAAGGAUAUCAUAUCUCAGGGGUUUCAAGGUGAAAUUGCAAAAAAAUAUUUUAAAGUCCAUCUGUUUUGUUUUCAUUAUGGACAAAUUGUUUAGAGAGAAAUGGUUCACACAGAUAACGGUUGACUCUGACGCCACGGAAUGAUAACUGUUAAGAACUGCUGAUAUCCUAGAAACUAUAAUUCUCUGUCUGUCUGUCUGUCUGUCUGUCUGUCUGUCUGUCUGUCUGUCUGUCUGUCUGUCUGUCUGUCUGUCUGUCUGUCUGUCUGUCUGUCUGUCUGUCUGUCUGUCUGUGUCUGUCUGUCUGUCUGUCUGUCUGUCUGUCUCUCCAUGUUAGAGCUAGGUAACAUCAGAUCAUACUGUCUGUCUCUCUGUCUGUCUCUCUCCAUGUUAGAGCUAGGUAACAUCAGAUCAUACUGUCUGUCUCUCUGUCUGUCUCUCUGUCUGUCUGUCUCCAUGUUAGAGCUAGGUAACAUCAGCUCAUACUGUCUGUCUCUCUGUCUGUCUCUCUCCAUGUUAGAGCUAGGUAACAUCAGAUCAUACUGUCUGUCUCUCUGUCUGUCUCUGUCUGUCUGUCUCCAUGUUAGAGCUAGGUAACAUCAGAUCAUACUGUCUGUCUGUCUGUCUGUCUCUGUCUGUCUGUCUCCAUGUUAGAGCUAGGUAACAUCAGAUCAUACUGUCUGUCUCUCUGUCUGUCUGUCUCCAUGUUAGAGCUAGGUAACAUCAGAUCAUACUGUCUGUCUCUCUGUCUGUCUGUCUGUCUCUCCAUGUUAGAGCUAGGUAACAUCAGAUCAUACUGUCUGUCUCUCUGUCUGUCUGUCUCCAUGUUAGAGCUAGGUAACAUCAGAUCAUACUGUCUGUCUCUCUGUCUGUCUGUCUCCAUGUUAGAGCUAGGUAACAUCAGAUCAUACUGUCUGUCUGUCUGUCUGUCUGUCUGUCUGUCUGUCUGUCUGUCUGUCUGUCUGUCUGUCUGUCUGUCUGUCUGUCUGUCUGUCUGUCUGUCUCCAUGUUAGAGCAAGGUAACAUCAGAUCAUACUGUCUGUCUGUCUGUCUGUCUGUCUGUCUGUCUGUCUGUCUGUCUGUCUGUCUGUCUGUCUGUCUGUCUGUCUGUCUGUCUGUCUGUCUGUCCUUCUGUAGGUUUUAACUCCAACCCUGUUCCUGGAGAGAGACCCUCCUGUCGGUUUUAACUCCAACCCUGUUCCUGGAGAGAAACCCUCCUGUAGGUUUUAACUCCAACCCUGUUCCUGGAGAGAAACCCUCCUGUAGGUUUUAACUCCAACCCUGUUCCUGGAGAGAAACCCUCCUGUAGGUUUUAACUCCAACCCUGUUCCUGGAGAGAGACCCUCCUGUAGGUUUUAACUCCAACCCUGUUCCUGGAGAGAAACUCUCCUGUAGGUUUUAACUCCAACCCUGUUCCUGGAGAGAGACCCUCCUGUAGGUUUUAACUCCAACCCUGUUCCUGGAGAGAGACCCUCCUGUAGGUUUUAACUACAACCCUGUUCCUGGAGAGAAACUCUCCUGUAGGUUUUAACUCCAACCCUGUUCCUGGAGAGAAACCCUCCUGUAGGUUUUAACUCCAACCCUGUUCCUGGAGAGAGACCCUCCUGUAGGUUUUAACUCCAACCCUGUUCCUGGAGAGAGACCCUCCUGUAGGUUUUAACUCCAACCCUGUUCCUGGAGAGAAACCCUCCUGUAGGUUUUAACUCCAACCCUGUUCCUGGAGAGAAACCCUCCUGUAGGUUUAUCAUUUUCAACCCAAGAUGGUAUAUACUCUACAAAAUCUCGGCUGGAUUUUUGAGUAUUUGGGAAAUAACUUGAGAAGUUGUAUAGGUAAUAUGUAUAAAUAUGAAAUGUAUUAUAUUAAAAUAGAACCAAAGGACAGUUGGGUUGUUAGAAUCCUCGGUGUCAGAGGUGUGUGUAACCUGAUUCUACUCUUGAAUGUCGUUCUGUCUAAAACAUUCUAUUCUGCCAUGAAGUCAUGAAAACAAACCAGCCACAGCACAUUCCUUAUAGUAGUGUGUGUGUGUGUGUGUGUGUGUGUGUGUGUGUGUGUGUGUGUGUGUGUGUGUGUGUGUGUGUGUGUGUGUGUGUGUGUGUGUGUGUGUGUG